GACGAACGCUGGCGGCGUGCCUAAUACAUGCAAGUCGAGCGGAAUGAUGAAGAAGCUUGCUUCUUCUGAGUUUUAGCGGCGGACGGGUGAGUAACACGUGGGCAAUCUGCCCGUAAGACUGGGAUAACUCCGGGAAACCCGGGGCUAAUACCGGAUAAUCCUGACUCUCUCCUGAGAGUCAGUUGAAAGAUGGUUUCGGCUAUCACUUACGGAUGAGCCCGCGGCGCAUUAGCUAGUUGGUAGGGUAACGGCCUACCAAGGGUUAUGAUGGGUAGCCGGCCUGAGAGGGUGUCCGGCCACACUGGAACUGGGACACGGUCCAGACUCCUACGGGAGGCAGCAGUAGGGAAUCUUCCACAAUGGACGAAAGUCUGAUGGAGCAACGCCGCGUGAGUGAAGAAGGUUUUCGGAUCGUAAAACUCUGUUGUAAGGGAAGAACACGUACGAGAGUAACUGCUCGUACCUUGACGGUACCUUAUUAGAAAGCCACGGCUAACUACGUG
This 503-nucleotide ribosomal RNA is filed under the name uncultured bacterium. RNAcentral describes it as "bacterial SSU rRNA". It matches the Rfam family "Bacterial small subunit ribosomal RNA", at positions 28 to 507 of the family's 1533-position model. The record is from RNAcentral.